RNAcentral lists this ribosomal RNA (539 nucleotides) under uncultured bacterium. Its description in RNAcentral is "bacterial SSU rRNA". It matches the Rfam family "Bacterial small subunit ribosomal RNA", at positions 777 to 1314 of the family's 1533-position model. The record is from RNAcentral.
AAUAGAUACCCGGGUAGUCCACGCCGUAAACGAUGAGUGCUAAGUGUUAGAGGGUUUCCGCCCUUUAGUGCUGCAGCAAACGCAUUAAGCACUCCGCCUGGGGAGUACGGUCGCAAGACUGAAACUCAAAGGAAUUGACGGGGGCCCGCACAAGCGGUGGAGCAUGUGGUUUAAUUCGAAGCAACGCGAAGAACCUUACCAGGUCUUGACAUCCCGUGACAACUCUAGAGAUAGGGCUUUCCCCUUCGGGGGACACGGUGACAGGUGGUGCAUGGUUGUCGUCAGCUCGUGUCGUGAGAUGUUGGGUUAAGUCCCGCAACGAGCGCAACCCUUGAUCUUAGUUGCCAGCAUUCAGUUGGGCACUCUAAGGUGACUGCCGGUGACAAACCGGAGGAAGGUGGGGAUGACGUCAAAUCAUCAUGCCCCUUAUGACCUGGGCUACACACGUGCUACAAUGGAUGGUACAAAGGGCAGCGAAACCGCGAGGUUAAGCCAAUCCCAUAAAACCAUUCUCAGUUCGGAUUGCAGGCUGCAACUCG